Molecule: ribosomal RNA, 253 nt
Filed under: uncultured bacterium
Lineage: Bacteria
Description: partial 16S ribosomal RNA
Rfam family: Bacterial small subunit ribosomal RNA
Source: RNAcentral
UACGAAGGGGGCUAGCGUUGUUCGGAAUCACUGGGCGUAAAGCGCACGCAGGCGGAUUGAUAAGUCAGGGGUGAAAUCCCGGAGCUCAACUUCGGAAUUGCCUUUGAUACUGUCUGUCUUGAGUCCGGGAGAGGUGAGUGGAAUUCCUAGUGUAGAGGUGAAAUUCGUAGAUACUCGCAAGAACACCAGUGGCGAAGGCGGCUGACUGGUCCGGUUCUGACGCUGAGGCGCGAAAGCGUGGGGAGCAAACAGG